Molecule: non-coding RNA, 207 nt
Filed under: Solobacterium moorei
Lineage: Bacteria; Bacillati; Bacillota; Erysipelotrichia; Erysipelotrichales; Erysipelotrichaceae
Description: T-box sequence
Rfam family: T-box leader
About the family: Uncharged tRNA acts as the effector for transcription antitermination of genes in the T-box leader family. T-boxes are found upstream of many aminoacyl-tRNA synthetase genes and some amino acid biosynthetic genes usually in Gram-positive bacteria. The anticodon of a specific tRNA base pairs to a specifier sequence within the T-box motif, and the NCCA acceptor tail of the tRNA base pairs to a conserved bulge in the T-box antiterminator hairpin.
Source: RNAcentral
AUAACAGCAAUGAAAAGAAGAGUACAUUUUCUUAGAAGCGUAGAGAGUAUGUGGUAGGUGAAAACAUGCAUGAAGGGGAAAUGGAACAUGGUCUUGGAGCUGGUCAUGCGAAGAGUAUGACCCGGAGACGUCCGUUACAACGAAGAGAGGCAGAUGAUUGAAUCAUCCGCAAGACAAAGGUGGUAACGCGUGCAAGACGUCCUUUCA